AUAAGCAGUUCUUAACUAUUUGUGAGCUUAGACCUAUUUUUGUUAUGGCUAAGAACCAGUCAACUUGACUGUGAUGAUUAAUCAAACAAUCAUAAACAGUGACUUUUAUUUCUGCAUCUUCACCUUCCUUCGCUUGUUGUUUCUCACUGUAAACUGGAAACAUCCCCGAACUUUACAAUGAAAGUCGUAUUCAGGUAGUCAAUUGAUUGCAUCACCAUCUUAUUGUAAUUCUUUGACAUUACAUCGUACUCUAGUAGUUCUUUUCAACGUUGUGUGUUUGUCUCAACGCGUCCUUUCACUGCUUCACUCAAGACCUUUUUUUCUUGAGUACGCGGACUUUGAAACAUUUCUAGCAAAUUUGUUUGGUGCACUUGGGAAAGGUACGACAACGCAGUCGAGUUGAGAAUAGGAUGAUCUUUAUACUUAUAGUGAAAAUGUGUGUACUCUCUUGGGGUUUUCAAGUUGAUCACUUUCUAGUCCUUCUUUCUACCAACAAUUAACUUGUUUGACUAGAAAUCUGCAACUAAUAAAAAAUGGAGAUGUGGUUUGAACACUACAAUAACUCCCAAAAUUUACUAUUUGUUAGGAAAGGUGAUUUUCUCGUUGUCUGUUUGCUUGGUUCAAGUUUUUGUGUUUACUAUUGAUAUGGUAGCCAUUUUCCCUUGAAUCCCAAGGUAUAGUUUCCAAAUAGAUUCGUUGUUGGCAUUAUGAGAAAGCUGCUUCUAGACUCUUAUACAAGUUUAGGCAAACAAAAACCUGACUAGAUUAUCAUCUGGAUAUGUGUAUUUUGUAGUUCCCCGUGCUAUGUAUCUUAUUUCCAAGUCUUUUGAGAAGCCUUCUUAAAGGCCACGUGUAGUAAGUUGUCGUUGACUACAUUAAUCCCUCAGACUAACGGCUAGUCUAAGCCAUUUACUUGGGCCUUCAUGAUGGGUUACGUUUAUUUAUUACUCAAUGAUUAUAGCAUGAUCGUAUAUGACAUUUAUCUCUGCUAGAAAUGCUUGUAACUACAGUUACAAAAAUUUUGAUCUUUGUUGUGACAUUAUUGAGAUUUGGGAAAAGAGAUUCUUUGCCUAGCACUUGUUGACAGAGGGGUUUUACGAACAAGUGAUCAAUUAUGAGAGUUCACAAUAUAGAAUUGUUUUAUUAAUAUUGUUACCCAAGGAGGGUAGUGCGUGAGCACGAUCGAGACUUUGAUUAUACAUUGUUAUAUAUUUCCAAUUGGGGCAUGAUUGUAAUAUUGCACCCUAAGGAAUUUGUUGCUUGCUUGUCAUGCCAAUAGUGAGUUGUUGAUAUCAUGGGCUGCAGACCGUAAUAUCAAUAACCUAUUUGUUGGAUUUGUUGAGUAAGUAAAUAGUUAGACCUUUUACGUUAGUGUACUUAUUGUAGUGUUUGUUGCUUCCACCUGCUUAUUACUUGGGCUCAACCCAAGGAUGCUAUGUACAUACUUUUGAGUACGCAACUUCUGAUUCCAUAGUUGAAAUGUUAUUUUUAGUUUAUCAAUACAACUAUUCUAACCUUAUGUUGCUAUAUAUAUAUGUAUGUAUGUAUAUGUAUAUAUAUUUUGACAUGACGUUAGUACAUAUAAAUAUUUUUGGCACUUUGUUUUUUGAGAAAACUAUUAUAUUAUAGGAUGGUACUGAAGAAGAAAGAGAGUAUGAGUUUGAGGCAGAAAUAAUGCACUCUAAAUUGCAACAGAGCGGCAUUUCCCUUUUUGAUGUAACCGCUCUCACUUAAUUUCUUCGUUACGUACAUAUAUUUUAUUCUUCCUAUCCUUUAAGUUUGUCAAGCAAAUGAUUUUAAAUUUCGGGGACGAAAUUUUCUUAAGGAGGGUAGAUUGUGACAACCCGUCCCUAACUUUACGUUUUUAUUUAUUUUAAUUGAGGGAAUUGACGAAAUGCCCUAGAGGCAAGGACUUGGACUUCCGUUGACCAUCGUUAGAAAA
Molecule: long non-coding RNA, 1942 nt
Filed under: Malus domestica (apple)
Lineage: Eukaryota; Viridiplantae; Streptophyta; Magnoliopsida; Rosales; Rosaceae
Description: long non-coding RNA (MDOM_LNC001784)
Source: RNAcentral